CCCACUGGGCAGGCAGCAGCAGACCGUGUAAACACCUUGAUGGAGCUCAUUCAUCACUCCCCAGGGGGCCAGCUCCGCAGUCCGCAGCCUGGCGGCCCGGCCAGACCGACUCCACCGGGAGGUCGCCUUUGGACUCACGGCCCCCUCGGUCUCGGAAGGGAGCAGCCCUUCUGUUUGUGCAGCUUAAUCCCGUGGCCAGCUUGACGGAGCAGUGUCCACAGUGCGGGUCAGCAGGAUCCCCAAAGCGGGAGGCCAAAGCCCAGCCGUCGCAGAAAACGAUGGCGAGGUUAAAGGAGAAAAUAAGUUACAUUACAGUUUCCAAAGUGGUUCUUGCUCUCUGCUGAAGAUGGGCCACCGGCAGGGCUGAAAUGCACUCUCGGUCCCAGGUCGUACUUUGCAAGAAGAGGGAAAUAACUAGCCUGGUUAUUUUAGGUUAAAAUAGCCAAGAGACAGACGCCUUCGCCUCAAAAAUAUUCUGAGACACAUACAAGUAGAAGGAAACAAGUCUCUUCAGUCACAAAAUGUCGUACAUCCCGCAUAUACUAGAUUCAAUUAAUUUAAUAAAAUAGAAUAUACAUAGA
Molecule: long non-coding RNA, 581 nt
Organism: Lontra canadensis (Northern American river otter)
Lineage: Eukaryota; Metazoa; Chordata; Mammalia; Carnivora; Mustelidae
Exons: 2
Source: RefSeq, a predicted model, not a curated record